AAAAGUCGUAACAAGGUUUCCGUAGGUGAACCUGCGGAAGGAUCAUUAAUAAUAACUUGUGGGCUAGAAGCAAUUUUAGCCUCACUAACAACACCUUGUGAACUAAUAGCCCUUACGGGCCGCUUAGGCAAUCUCUGGAUUGUCUCGGUAAACCAAACCUUUAGUAUACUUUGUAGACUUAAAAAAACACAAACUUAAUACAACCUUUAACAAUGGAUCUCUUGGCUCCUG
This 231-nucleotide unclassified non-coding RNA is filed under the name fungal sp. RNAcentral describes it as "partial internal transcribed spacer region". The stretch from base 1 to 48 matches the Rfam family "Eukaryotic small subunit ribosomal RNA", at positions 1784 to 1831 of the family's 1831-position model. Lineage: Eukaryota; Fungi. The record is from RNAcentral.